GCGCGCGCUGGGCGACUUCGAUUUCGACGACAAUCCCAGGUCGAUGUCCGUACUCUCACGUCCGUCCGCGAGUUGUCGCGCGGUCCACCAGGGAGAGGUGGCAAGCAGACUGUCCAACUGGCUGGUACUGCAUCGUUAUAGAGGACCGCUGGUCCGAGCCGCUACCAGGGAGGAGGCUGUUGACACUCAUCAGCUCUGGUCGGGCCACUGGGGAUGAUCGGAGCAGUAUCUUCACCGGAUUGAGAGGAGAUCAAUGUCCGAGUUCGCCUAAUGUAACGACAAUGAAUGCCAAGCUGGCCGCUGCCUGGUCUGCGGUGAAGCAGUGGACACCUAAGCGCACGUGUUGCCGGAGUGUCCGUGCUUUUACGGCCCUCGGCUGUGUGCGCUAUGGAACAUCGUCGGCGCGGCCCUCGAUGUCAAGCGCGACGACGUGGUGGUGACCUUAGCCGCCGGCUACGAGGCCCACAAGAGGCUUGUAUUGGCUACGGCGGUAGCUGUGGGGACACAGCAACAACGACAUCAACAGCUGGCGGCGGAAGUGGCCCCGGAGCUACGCACCUGCGGACAGAGCUACCGCUGAUCCACAUCUCAGCUGAUGAUGCUCAACAGACGGAGAGACUGAGGCGCUGGACAGCGAGUCUGUCUGUGGUUGUGCUGAAGACGGCGUCGGACGACCAUCAGUUCCGGCUGGCGAAUCUAGCCAGCUCCGACCCCGUCCAGCUGCCCGACGAGUGCUUACCAAAACAGCCGCUCGCUGCUGCCGUGCGCCAAGAUGGCCGUCCACCGCCACCGAUGCCGCCACUCGCUCGCCAAGACGCCCGUCCAUUGGUGCCACCGCCCCACGCCCACUUGCGCUCUGCCACCGUUGACUGCGGCUAGCCGAGAUUCAGGUUCAAGGUUUAGGCAUACCUACAUUAAUGUUAAUUGCCUAUAUUCAUCGAAGCGAAGGUGUGGUGACAAAGAUGCCUAUGGUGGUGAAAUACGGUGUACGCAGCUCCUGGUGAUGUUUUUAUUGCCCUUAGCUUGCCAUCCAAUACCUAUCAUCAUUUGAUCAUGUAUGCUGACUUGAGUGGCUGAUAUUUGAUAAUAUAUAGCAUGAAGUGUU
This 1105-nucleotide unclassified non-coding RNA is filed under the name Amphibalanus amphitrite. Its description in RNAcentral is "uncharacterized LOC122371372, transcript variant X1". Lineage: Eukaryota; Metazoa; Arthropoda; Thecostraca; Balanomorpha; Balanidae. The record is from RNAcentral.